GCAGGGAAGCUGUGGCAGGAUCCUGUCUGUGGAAGCUGGAGGAGGCUUGCUCACAACUUUGCAGAGCAUGAAGCAAAGAGAGACAGAGGCGGUGAUGACUCUUCCUUUCCCCUUCUUUAGGAGUCCCAGAUCCCAGGUCAUCGGAUGGUGCCUCCGACCAAGGUAGAAGCUGAGUCACCCGAGUUGUCCAUGAGUGCUUGGCACUCUUGAAGUCUGUCCCACUCAUCCUGUUUCCAUCUGAAGAAAUGAAGCUGGUGACAGAUAUAGGCAGGUCUGUCUGUAUAUGAGAGAAGACAGGGUGGAAUAUAUUAUGGAGUUCAAUGUCUCUCCCUGCCAGAGUAAGCCAUAAAAGCUGAGAGUCCUUCUUAGACAGAGUUAAGCUGUGAAGACUCUCAGACAAGACACACUGCAAAGAAGACUAAGACAAGACCAGCUGCCUGGGAGAAGCAGAAACCAGUCAAACUGCCUAGAAGAGGUUUAGGCCAACUUAGGCACCUGGAAAGGACUCCCUCCAACCAGUUGAGCUGCCUGCAGGCUGUGCAGUAAGCUGUAUGGUGUGCUCCAGGUUCCCAGCUUUGUGAGCUGUCACCUGUGCUGGGGUGGGCUUUGGUGAUGUAGCUGUCUUUGAGUGACUUAUACUUGUCCAUCUUCCUGUAAGUAACCCCAAUAAAACUCAUGGUUCACC
Molecule: long non-coding RNA, 685 nt
Organism: Mus pahari (shrew mouse)
Lineage: Eukaryota; Metazoa; Chordata; Mammalia; Rodentia; Muridae
Exons: 4
Source: RefSeq, a predicted model, not a curated record